Pseudopipra pipra is the source of this 599-nucleotide long non-coding RNA. RefSeq lists it as uncharacterized. The transcript has 2 exons. The record is from RefSeq and is a predicted model, not a curated record. Lineage: Eukaryota; Metazoa; Chordata; Aves; Passeriformes; Pipridae.
GCGAGCAUAGGCUGCCUCUCUCUGCCCCCCGGGUGGGGCGGGCCCCGGCUCCGGCCCCCCGCCCAUCCCGCCCCUCGGCCCCGGCCCCGGCCCCGCACACGCACACGCACACGCACACGCACCUGCCCCGGCACUGCGGGGGGACCCUGGGAUCGGGCUUUAGGCUCGGACAUUAAGCUUUACUCUGUCCAGUUCUGGGCUCCUCAGUACAAGAGACAAGGAGCUGCUGGAGGUGGUCCAGCGGAGGCCGCAAAGAUGAUGUCUCAAAGGGGUGUCAGAGGAUGGUGUCAGACUCUUUUCGGUGGUGCCCAGCGACAGGACAAGGAGCAAAGGCCAUAAACCAAAGCACAAAAAGUUUCACCUCAACAUGAGGAAGAACUUGUUUCGACUGAGGGUGGCAGAGCACUGGAACAGCUGCCCAGGGAGGUCAUGGAGUCUCCCUCUCUGGAGACGUUCCAAACCCACGUGGACAUGUUCCUCUGUCACCUGCUCUAAGUGACCCCGCCUGGCAGGGGGGUUGGACUGGGUGAUCUCCAGAGGUCCCUUCCAACCUUAAAUCUGUGUUUCUGUGAAAUAAACACACCCUGCUGCUGCCAUCC